This is a ribosomal RNA of 1380 nucleotides. It matches the Rfam family "Bacterial large subunit ribosomal RNA", at positions 158 to 2564 of the family's 2925-position model.
GCUUACAACCUAGCUCUACUGCCCCGAAUGUAAGACAUCUACACUUACUAACUAAUAAAACAUUUUUCACAUUUAGUAAAGGCGAUCAAAAAAUGUAUUGAAACUAUAAAAAUAGUACCGCAAGGGAAAGAUGAAAUAAAAAUGAAAUAAACGCUAAAGCACUGAAAAGCAGAGACUAAACCUCGUACCUUUUGCAUCAUGGUCUAGCCAGUCCAACCAAGCAAAACGCAUUUUAAGUUUGACCCCCCGAAACUAAGUGAGCUACUUCAAAACAGCCCCAAGGGCCAACCCGUCUCUGUUGCAAAAGAGUGGGAAGAUUUUCAAGUAGAGGUGAUAAACCUACCGAGCUUAGAGAUAGCUGGUUAUUCAGGAAAAGGAUUUAAGUCCUACCUUAAGUUUCUUCGUAACUCUAAUUACUUCACAAAACUUAAGAGCUAUUCAAAUAAGGUACAGCCUAUUUGAAACAGGAUACAACCUACAACAUUGGGUAAUGAAUUCUGCUUCAUAAUUAAGUGGGCCUAAGAGCAGCCACCUUUAAAAAAGCGUUAAAGCUUUAUUAUACUAGCUCAAUAAUUACAUUAAUCCCCCAAAACCCUUAUCUCAUACUGAGUGAUUUCAUAAUAUUAUGAAAAACCAUAUGCUAGAACUAGUAACAAGAAGAAGACCUUCUCCAAAAAUGUACGUAUAAGCCAAAAUGAACAACUCAUUGGCAUUUACCGCUUAUGAACUAACAGUAGUAACUCAACAAGAAAACUCUACUAUCCAUAACGUUAACCUUACACUAGCACAUUCCCGGAAAGAUUAAAAGGAAGGGAAGGAACUCGGCAAAUAAUAACCUCGCCUGUUUACCAAAAACAUCGCCUCCUGAAUAAUUAUAGGAGGUCCAGCCUGCCCAGUGACAAAGUUAAACGGCCGCGGUACCCUAACCGUGCAAAGGUAGCGCAAUCACUUGUUCUUUAAAUGAGGACUAGUAUGAAUGGCAUCACGAGGGUUAUACUGUCUCCCCCACCUAAUCAGUGAAACUGAUCUUCCCGUGAAGAAGCGGGAAUAGAAUUAUAAGACGAGAAGACCCCAUGGAGCUUUAAACUCAACAUCAACUGCCCUAUAAAUAGCUUAUUAACCACGCAGAUCUGACAGUUGGUUUUCGGUUGGGGUGACCGCGGAGUAAAACAAAACCUCCACGAUGAAAGGAAUUAACCUCCUAAUCUAAGAGCUACAGCUCUAAGAAUCAACAAAUUGACAAAAUUUGAUCCAAAUAUUUUGAUCAACGAACCAAGUUACCCUGGGGAUAACAGCGCAAUCCAUUUCAAGAGCUCAUAUCGACAAAUGGGUUUACGACCUCGAUGUUGGAUCAGGGUAUCCUAGUGGCGCAGCCGGCUA